AUGCUGGAGGUAUCAGAAGUGCGAAUGCUGACAUAAGUAACGAUAAAGCGGGUGAAAAGCCCGCUCGCCGGAAGACCAAGGGUUCCUGUCCAACGUUAAUCGGGGCAGGGUGAGUCGACCCCUAAGGCGAGGCCGAAAGGCGUAGUCGAUGGGAAACAGGUUAAUAUUCCUGUACUUGGUGUUACUGCGAAGGGGGGACGGAGAAGGCUAUGUUGGCCGGGCGACGGUUGUCCCGGUUUAAGCGUGUAGGCUGGUUUUCUAGGCAAAUCCGGAAAAUCAAGGCUGAGGCGUGAUGACGAGGCACUACGGUGCUGAAGCAACAAAUGCCCUGCUUCCAGGAAAAGCCUCUAAGCAUCAGGUAACAUCAAAUCGUACCCCAAACCGACACAGGUGGUCAGGUAGAGAAUACCAAGGCGCUUGAGAGAACUCGGGUGAAGGAACUAGGCAAAAUGGUGCCGUAACUUCGGGAGAAGGCACGCUGAUAUGUAGGUGAAGCGACUCGCUCGUGGAGCUGAAAUCAGUCGAAGAUACCAGCUGGCUGCAACUGUUUAUUAAAAACACAGCACUGUGCAAACACGAAAGUGGACGUAUACGGUGUGACGCCUGCCCGGUGCCGGAAGGUUAAUUGAUGGGGUUAGCGCAAGCGAAGCUCUUGAUCGAAGCCCCGGUAAACGGCGGCCGUAACUAUAACGGUCCUAAGGUAGCGAAAUUCCUUGUCGGGUAAGUUCCGACCUGCACGAAUGGCGUAAUGAUGGCCAGGCUGUCUCCACCCGAGACUCAGUGAAAUUGAACUCGCUGUGAAGAUGCAGUGUACCCGCGGCAAGACGGAAAGACCCCGUGAACCUUUACUAUAGCUUGACACUGAACAUUGAGCCUUGAUGUGUAGGAUAGGUGGGAGGCUUUGAAGUGUGGACGCCAGUCUGCAUGGAGCCGACCUUGAAAUACCACCCUUUAAUGUUUGAUGUUCUAACGUUGACCCGUAAUCCGGGUUGCGGACAGUGUCUGGUGGGUAGUUUGACUGGGGCGGUCUCCUCCUAAAGAGUAACGGAGGAGCACGAAGGUUGGCUAAUCCUGGUCGGACAUCAGGAGGUUAGUGCAAUGGCAUAAGCCAGCUUGACUGCGAGCGUGACGGCGCGAGCAGGUGCGAAAGCAGGUCAUAGUGAUCCGGUGGUUCUGAAUGGAAGGGCCAUCGCUCAACGGAUAAAAGGUACUCCGGGGAUAACAGGCUGAUACCGCCCAAGAGUUCAUAUCGACGGCGGUGUUUGGCACCUCGAUGUCGGCUCAUCACAUCCUGGGGCUGAAGUAGGUCCCAAGGGUAUGGCUGUUCGCCAUUUAAAGUGGUACGCGAGCUGGGUUUAGAACGUCGUGAGACAGUUCGGUCCCUAUCUGCCGUGGGCGCUGGAGAACUGAGGGGGGCUGCUCCUAGUACGAGAGGACCGGAGUGGACGCAUCACUGGUGUUCGGGUUGUCAUGCCAAUGGCACUGCCCGGUAGCUAAAUGCGGAAGAGAUAAGUGCUGAAAGCAUCUAAGCACGAAACUUGCCCCGAGAUGAGUUCUCCCUGACUCCUUGAGAGUCCUGAAGGAACGUUGAAGACGACGACGUUGAUAGGCCGGGUGUGUAAGCGCAGCGAUGCGUUGAGCUAACCGGUACUAAUGAACCGUGAGGCUUAACCUU
Molecule: ribosomal RNA, 1675 nt
Filed under: Escherichia coli UMEA 3150-1
Lineage: Bacteria; Pseudomonadati; Pseudomonadota; Gammaproteobacteria; Enterobacterales; Enterobacteriaceae
Description: bacterial LSU rRNA
Rfam family: Bacterial large subunit ribosomal RNA
Source: RNAcentral